RNAcentral lists this ribosomal RNA (214 nucleotides) under uncultured bacterium. RNAcentral describes it as "partial 16S ribosomal RNA". It matches the Rfam family "Bacterial small subunit ribosomal RNA", at positions 118 to 335 of the family's 1533-position model. The record is from RNAcentral.
UGAGCAAUCUGCCCUUCACAUCGGAAUAACCAUUGGAAACGAUGGCUAAUACCGAAUAUGACUUCGGAUCGCAUGAUCUGAAGUGGAAAGCUCCGGCGGUGAAGGAUGAGCUCGCGGCCUAUCAGCUUGUUGGUGAGGUAAUGGCUCACCAAGGCGAUGACGGGUAGCCGGCCUGAGAGGGUGACCGGCCACACUGGGACUGAGACACGGCAGA